Molecule: ribosomal RNA, 499 nt
Filed under: uncultured bacterium
Lineage: Bacteria
Description: partial 16S ribosomal RNA
Rfam family: Bacterial small subunit ribosomal RNA
Source: RNAcentral
GACGAACGCUGGCGGCGUGCUUAACACAUGCAAGUCGAACGGGCCCGCUCUCUUUUUUGGGGGUGGGUUGAGUGGCGAACGGGUGAGUAUCACGUGAGUAACCUGCCCCCUGCUCCUGGAUAACUGCUUGAAAGGGCGGCUAAUACGGGGUGUGCCGGCUGGUCCGCAUGGGCCUGGUCGGGAUAGUUUCAUCUUCGGGUGUUUCGGUGGGGGAUGGGCUCGCGGCCUAUCAGCUUGUUGGUGGGGUGAUGGCCCACCAAGGCGGUGACGGGUAGCCGGCCUGAGAGGGUGGGCGGCCACACUGGGACUGAGACACGGCCCAGACUCCUGCGGGAGGCAGCAGUGGGGGGGAUUGCGCAAUGGGCGGAAGCCUGAUGCAGCGACGUCGCGUGAGGGAUGGAGGCCUUCGGGUUGUGAACCUCUUUCUCCGGUGGUGAAGGCCCUGUCCGUUGCGGCGGGGUUGACGGUAGCCGGGGAUGAAGCGCCGGCUAACUACGUG